UAAAAUAAAAUCAUCAAUAUACUGUGUGCAUACAAUGCUUCAUGGAGCGGACAUGAAAUGUCACAUAAACUGCUGAUACUUACUUUUCUGGAACAACAACACAGAGUGUUCACUACUGAUUUGCAAAUACCUAAUUUGCAAUCAGCAAAAAGCUUCAUCAAGUAUGUCCAACUCCUACCGGUCUGGCAGUAACAUUGUUCCUGCUAUCCUAAAUUCAGUAUCCAAAACCAAAAACAAAGAAAAAUCAUCUCUUUGGUAACAGGCAAGCAAAAAAACCAUAAUCCCGUCACAGGGAAUCGUCCACCGCGCCUAGGCAGUGUCGCUCCUCCAGGACCCUAAAAGAAGGAGAGAAUAUCUCAUGUUACAAACCAGAUGCAGAGUUAAGUAAGGGGAGGCCAAAGACAUGUCCCAGCAACCUAAAAUGCGUUAUUCGCCAGCAUGUUCCAGCUGGCCCUCACCAAGAUACUGUAAAUCUUAAUGUACUUCACCAAAUCAAGCAACUGAGAAUAAUAUGAAUAUCAGCAGGAGAUUAUCUACAAGUUUCAUGUGGGUGCCACAACCAAAUUAUGAACCAAAUUACUCAUAUAGAGUUUGAAAUGAGCAUCUGACCUACUACUGGGUGUGGCAAUCAACCGAGAUCUACCCUUGCAGCAAGAAGGAACCAAAGGGACGUGAAUCCAAUAAAAUAAGUCCACUUUCGUCUCUUCUCUUUCCCUUUCCUCCAUCUCCAACUCCAAAUUUCCUGUCCAUGUUUGAUCCACACCAAUCGGUCAGUAAGAAAGUAUACCUAAUCGACUUGGUCUCAUGCAACUUUGUGUUUGCAACAAAGGGGCAGGCAACAUCCAUGGGGUAGAGAUAUAGUUCACCGGAAUUUAACACUACAUUGAAACCAUAUCAUUUUAGGUAGGAUAUGCACAAAUGUGAAGUGAUAACAUCACAAAAAGAUUAUACGACAUUCUCCAAUCUCCUUAAUUUUGCAAUUAAACAUCUGCAACUUACAAAGUUCUCGUGUAAUCUUUAUUCCCUUGUUGCCAUGAUGGCCAAAUAGACAUGUAAAAUCCUAUAAAAUCCUCAUUUGAAGGAAUGCUCCAAUUUUAAACGACAUAUGAAGAAGCAUGUUCCAUCAUGAACUUUUGUCAAGCAGCUUGCAUACGUCACAAAGCACUUGUUCAUUGAAAAAAUAACGGUUAUAAAGAUUUCAUGUGUCUGCUUACCAAGAAUAUGCACAUGCCUGUUUGAAGGACUCUGGAUGUUGAUAACAUUGAGGUGCUCAUAAUGACGAUAGUUGUGCUGGUACAUGGUGCUUGUUGAGCCUGCACUUGUGGAUGCACUCCCCCUCUCUCACCUGUUCCACGCAAACGGCCAGACCCUCACGUUCGACGCAAACACCCAUCCCACCUGAUUUGGCCAUUUGGCCCUCAUUUGCUCUCUUUUUUUUUGAAAAAAAGGUUUAUCUAUCUGGC
This 1463-nucleotide long non-coding RNA is filed under the name Triticum aestivum (bread wheat). RNAcentral describes it as "long non-coding RNA (TAES_LNC020724)". Lineage: Eukaryota; Viridiplantae; Streptophyta; Magnoliopsida; Poales; Poaceae. The record is from RNAcentral.